ACAAAACAGGAACUUGACUCGAGGUUAAUCAGAGAAUUGACUCAACGUUACAUUUUAGGAAGUGGUUUUAGGAGAAGCGACAGAAACGCGUUGAAACAAAGGGAGCUGAAAAUCACAGCUGAACCGCGGAAUAAAGAAGCAAUCAGAUCUAAAAACGUCAUGCUUCUGCAAAUACGGCGUCCGCUGUCUUUGAUGCGGCGUGGGUUUUUCCAGAAAACCCCGCAGAAGAACUGACACACGCAUGCACACACAGAGCGCAUCUUUGUUGUGUUUUUCUGAAUGCCGUACAUCGGGGUGAGGAGGAGGAGGGAGCACAAGCAACACUCUCCAAAAUCUGAUGACUGACACAUGAAGCACAGGAGGAAACGUAUUCACUUCCUGUUCUCCUCCUUCAGCUGAAAUGGAUCAGCCUCUUCUGAACCGACUGUCUGUGUGGGGCUGCUGCUCCUGCAGCACUUUGAAGGCCUGGCUGCCGAUCCUCACCUGGCUGCCGAGGUACAAGCUGAAGUGGCUUCAGAUGGAUCUGCUGGCAGGCCUCACCGUCGGCCUGACAACCGUACCCCAGGCGCUGGCUUAUGCUGAAGUAGCCGGCCUCCCUGUGCAGUACGGACUCUACUCCGCCUUUAUGGGAGGCUUCAUCUAUACCCUCCUGGGGACGUCUAAGGAUGUGACACUGGGUCCCACUGCAAUCAUGUCCCUGUUGUGUUUCUCGGUGGUGGGGGGGCAGCCACACCGCGCCGUGCUGCUCAGUCUGCUCUGUGGACUCAUCCAGGCAGGAAUGGCAUUACUGAGACUAGGUUUCUUGCUGGACUUUAUCUCCUUCCCUGUUAUAAAAGGUUUCACUUGUGCUGCUGCGGUAACCAUCGGCUUCGGCCAGGUCAAGAACAUUCUGGGACUCCAGGGUGUUCCUCAUGAGUUCUUCCUGGAGGUUUACUACACCUUCUACAAGAUCCCAGAGGCCAGGACAGGGGACGUGGUGCUGGGCCUGCUUUGUCUCGCCGUGCUGAUCAUGCUGUUAUUCAUGAAGGAGAGCCUGGGCGCGGAGGGAGCUCCUACCUGCCCCGCAGUUGCCAGAAAACUAGUGUGGACCGUUGCCACCGUGCGCAACGCUCUUGUGGUCGUGGCUUCAUCCUUCGUGGCGUUUUCCUGGAACGCUUACGGUCAUCCCGUGUUUACGGUCACUGGGGAGACUUCCCGGGGGCUCCCGCCGUUCAGACCUCCACCCACCUCGGACACCACAGCCAACGGCACGGUGGUCUCCUUUGGAGAGAUAGUAGAGGACUUUGGAGGAGCGCUGGCUGUGAUUCCCUUCAUGGGUCUGUUGGAAAGCAUUGCUAUUGCUAAGGCUUUUGCCAGUCAGAACGACUACAGAAUUGAUGCCAACCAAGAGCUGCUGGCAAUUGGUGUGACCAACAUCAUGGGCUCCUUUGUGUCGGCCUACCCUGUGACUGGCAGCUUUGGGAGGCAGGACAGCAGUGAACUCCCAGACUGGUGUUUGCACUCCAGCUGGAGGGAUCGUCACCAGUGUGGUAGUGUUGCUCUCCCUGGCGUUCCUCAUGCCGGCCUUCUACUACAUCCCCAAAGCCUCUCUAGCUGCUGUUAUCAUCUGUGCGGUAGCUCCCAUGGUGGACUAUCGGGUCAUCGCCAAGAUGUGGAAGAUACGCAAACUGGACCUGCUGCCGUUCGUUGUGACGUUCCUGAUGAGCUUCUGGCAGGUGCAGUACGGCAUUGUGGGAGGUGUGGCUGUAUCUGGAGCCCUGCUGCUCUACAACACGGCAAGACCACCAAUGAAGGUGUCUGAUCACGGUGUGCUGGUGGUGGAGUUAGGCAGUGGACUGAGUUUUCCUGCCACAGAGUAUCUCAGCCACAUCAUACACACUCAGGCUCUGCAGGCGUGUCCUCCGAAGUCAGUGGUGCUGGACUGCCAUCAUGUCAGCGUCAUAGAUUACACAGUGAUCAGCGAGCUCAGUGACCUGCUGAGACAGUUCCGACUGCGAGAAGUGCGGCUUGUCUUUUGCAGAUUAGAGCUCUCUGUUCUGGAGGUUCUCCUUGCAGCCGAUCUGCAGGGCUUCAGCUAUAAAGACAGUGUGGAGGCGGCGCUGCAGAGCGAGUCGGCGAGCUUGAACACUGAUCAGUGACGUUUCUAAUCCUACAUUGUUGAGCUGUUAUCCAGUUUAAAAGUAAUGAACUACCUCCAGCAACUGGCUUCACCGGCUGUUAGGACGUUACCAUCGCAAUAUUAGACCAUUUUUGAGGGAACGAGGAUGCAAUAAGAGAAAUAAUAUUGACAUAUAUCUAUAUAUAUAUAUAUAUAAAUGUUUACACACAGCUGAAGGGGAUGUUUAAGGGACCAAAAACGGACCAGAGCAAACACAAUGCUUGUGCCACUAUCAUUAUUUAUUUAUCUAUCUAAAUAAACAUUCUCUUUCUCUAUUCUUGAUGUUGAAAAAAUGAUUAUAAUUAGGGCUGUCAAUACAUUUAAAAAAAUUAACUAAUUGAUCUCACAUUUUGAAAUUCAUUCAUCUCAAUUUAUGGCAAUUAAUGAAUGUUGUUGUUGUUGUUACAACAAGUAAGUGAGUAAGUAAUCUUAAAAGUAAUGUAAUCACUUCAGAAAGUGUGUAUUUUAGACACUUGUUUAAUUGUUAAUGUUAUUUUAAACACAAAGCUACACACAUUUGUUUGUUUGCUACUCACCCCCCUUCUGUUUGACACGUGGAGUAAUUCUUCUGCACAGUUCUCCGCUGUAUGUCGCACCAGUUUGUUUUACCUCCAAUGAAAAAAGCUAGUGAGAAAUUAAAUCAUUCAUAUCAAUAGAAUUAAUAAUCGCUAAGAUAAUUUAUUAUAAAUCGGUAAGGGGGCAUCAAAACAAAACACACGUGUUGUUUAACUCGGUGUGCGCUCUGUCCUUUCUUGCGGGAAUCAUGAGGGCUGUUUGGUUUCUUGAUGGCGCAAAAGCUGUUGGUGCUCUUGUAACACGCAAGUUGUAUCCAAGCCAUUGACACACUUUCAGUGUCACGUUCUGUCACGGUAUCGGGCGGCAAAGAUCCACGCGCAGAGGGAGGUCACAAAAUAAGGGUUUUAAUGUUCAACAGAAACAGCGAGCCGAGCUCGAUGGCAAAACAUAGAACAAAAAUGCAUUCUCUAGGAGACCAGCUAGGCAAGGGCUUGACUCACAAGAAUAAUCCGACAAGACACAAAGGUAACACAUGCAAGAUAUAGACAGGGUGAUUAGACAUGACGAGAAACAGGUGUAACAGCAAACGGCGCGGGCACUGAUUGAAAUGAGCGGCAGGUGGAUGGGAAGGCUAUGUGGUUGCAUAUAAGGAGAAGUUCAACUUAGUCAUCAGUGUGCUUCCUCCCCGAACUCUUUAUGACUUUGUGGACUCUGCAGCGCCUCUUACGAGAAUAAAACCUGUUAAAAUC
Non-coding RNA from Gasterosteus aculeatus aculeatus (three-spined stickleback), 3423 nucleotides. NCBI's taxonomy places the organism in Eukaryota, Metazoa, Chordata, Actinopteri, Perciformes, Gasterosteidae. The record is from RefSeq and is a predicted model, not a curated record.